Molecule: long non-coding RNA, 1213 nt
Filed under: Cervus hanglu yarkandensis (Yarkand deer)
Lineage: Eukaryota; Metazoa; Chordata; Mammalia; Artiodactyla; Cervidae
Description: lncRNA (ENSCHYG00000006073.1)
Source: RNAcentral
CAGGGAUUGGUUGAUCCCAGGAAGAAGGUGGGGCCUUGACGCGGGAGGGAGGCGGGCCCGGAGUCUCCAGAGGCUCCGUCUAUUGGUCCCGCCCCCUUACUGGAAUUCCGGCCCGCGCAGGUAAGGCCGAACCUUUAGUGAAGCCGUCGUACGUCUAGUAGUUCUCCCAGCAACCGGUGACGCACCGGCGUGAGGCAGGCCACUGGCCAACACGGGAGAGCGGGGCUGGAGCGUGACCCUCAAUCCCGAGGCACCUCCCAGUUCCCCCCACUAGGCCGCCUCGCGCUCCUUCCCUCCCUUCCCCGCCACAGUCCCGCAAUCCGGGAGGCGGGGGUCAGCGACCCAGCUGAGUGGGAGCCGCGCGGUGUCCGAGGAGCCAGUCGGCGACCGCUUCGGGCGGCCAGCGUCUGCCGCCGUGAAGAACGCCGCCCUGGCAACUAGUGACGCAGAGGCCCAGCGGAGCAAGGGAUUGGCCGGCCCGCGUCCGCUGCUGCCGCGCGGCCUGCUCCUCCCAGGCCUUGCCCUCCGUCUGUCCUCACCAGUUUUCCCGCUGUGACCUUCGUUGCUGGCGGCCCCACGACGCAAAUAUCGCCAGGCUGAGUCCGAAAAAAAAGGGCAGCGGCAGCCUCCGGGUCCCGACCAUAUUAAACGCCCCCUACUCUACACUACGUUUUUGGUACCCUGUCUUGCCCUUCGGGUGGGCUGGCGCCUAGAGCAAAGAGUUGAGAUAGGCCCAGGGAUGGGAAAUUUCGUCCUAGGAGAAUCUGACCAGCAACUCGUGACGAAAACUAACUGACGCGCCCGGGAUUGGCUGCGCUGCGGAGGGGGGCCAGGGAAGGCGAUCUGCUCAGAUUUUCUUCCAGGCAUAGACCGUUUCCUUCAAGGGCAAGCUCCAGUAUGGGGGCACAGCACACCCUGCUCCAGAGGCACAGAGAGAGAACAUCCUACAUCAGCCACUCCUGCCCAGUAGUACGGAGGGGAGCAGAAGCUUCAGAGCCCACUCCUGCAGGGCUCAUGGUACAUGGUAAACCUAGCUGCAGCCCACCUCUGAAACAGCCACAGCACCUGCCAUGAGAGAAGGAACCCUGGAAUCUACAGACCAAUUUUCCAGGUCUCUCUUUCCCUUUGCUACUGUUCCCUUUCUAUGCCUUAAAAAUAACGCAGAUGGAGAAGGUGGACUCCAGAGUGUGAGUGGCACUCUGCACCCUGAGGG